This 706-nucleotide long non-coding RNA is filed under the name Fukomys damarensis (Damara mole-rat). Its description in RNAcentral is "lncRNA (ENSFDAG00000029867.1)". Lineage: Eukaryota; Metazoa; Chordata; Mammalia; Rodentia; Bathyergidae. The record is from RNAcentral.
GUGACGGCGCUCCCAGGAGAAGAUAUUCCAUGUGUGGAGUUGUUACGCUAUCUCUAGGAAUGACAGGAGGCUUGGGCUGCGCGCCUGUAACUCCAGCAUUCUGGGAGGCUGAGGAAAGAGCAUGGUGACCCUGGCCCCUACCUUGGAUGGGCAGCGAUGCAAGAGCGGUCGGAGGAGCUGUGGCACCAGGUCCUGGCAGCCCCAGUGCUGACCGGAUGACUGCCUACCUGCCCAGGUCCUGGUGUUUCGAGUCCAGCCCUGGAUCUACUCCCCGACCUUCCCCGCGGAAGGUUUCGCCGCAAAGAUUUCUCCUUCAGCCGUUGUCACUGGGGUGUCAUCCACGACGACAGCCACCGACGCGGCCACUCAGGGACCACAUCCCGGAAGGCCGGGCCCUCAUCCACCGGCUCACCCCAUCCUGUCUCGGUUCCACCCUGGCACCAGGGCCUGAGUCGGGGCGCAGCGUGGGGAGAACCCCAAGGCCUGGGGACCCGAGUGGGCCCGGCUCGGAAGCCAUCCCGAGAGCUGGGGUUCAGCGCCGGCCAAGACUGAGGGUGCGAGCCGGGCCAGGGGACCGGAGGACAGGAGGACCGGCGACAUCCCCAUCCAGCGGAGCUCGGGGCUCCGGGCCUCCGCCACCUCUGGACACCACCACCAGCCGCUCCUCAGGCGCAGGUUCUGGGUUCUGCUCGCUGCCUCAGCGUCC